This 254-nucleotide ribosomal RNA is filed under the name uncultured bacterium. RNAcentral's name for it is "partial 16S ribosomal RNA". It matches the Rfam family "Bacterial small subunit ribosomal RNA", at positions 524 to 776 of the family's 1533-position model. The record is from RNAcentral.
UACGAAGGAUGCAAGCGUUAUCCGGAAUUAUUGGGCGUAAAGCGUUUGUAGGCGGGCGAGUGUGUUUAAUGUUAAAUCUUAAAGCUCAACUUUGAAAUUGCGUUAAAAACUGCUUGUCUUGAGUAUGGUAGGGGUAAAGGGAAUGCCCAGUGUAGCUGUGAAAUGCGUAGAUAUUGGGAAGAACACUAAACAGCGAAGGCACUUUACUAUGCUAAUACUGACGCUGAGAAACGAAAGGUAAGGUAGCGAAACGG